CCUACGGGUGGCAGCAGUAGGGAAUAUUGCUCAAUGGGGGAAACCCUGAAGCAGCAACGCCGCGUGGGGGAAUGAAGGUCUUCGGAUUGUAAACCCCUGUCAUGUGGGAGCAAAUUAAAAAGAUAGUACCACAAGAGGAAGAGACGGCUAACUCUGUGCCAGCAGCCGCGGUAAUACAGAGGUCUCAAGCGUUGUUCGGAAUCACUGGGCGUAAAGGGUGCGUAGGCUGUAUCGUAAGUCGUGUGUGAAAGGCGCGGGCUCAACCCGCGGACGGCACAUGAAACUGUGUGACUAGAGUAAGGGAGGGGGAACCGGAAUUCUCGGUGUAGCAGUGAAAUGCGUAGAUAUCGAGAGGAACACUCGUGGCGAAGGCGGGUUCCUGGACAUUAACUGACGCUGAGGCACGAAGGCCAGGGGAGCGAAAGGGAUUAGAUACCCGAGUAGUC
This 446-nucleotide ribosomal RNA is filed under the name uncultured bacterium. RNAcentral describes it as "partial 16S ribosomal RNA". It matches the Rfam family "Bacterial small subunit ribosomal RNA", at positions 338 to 795 of the family's 1533-position model. The record is from RNAcentral.